This 501-nucleotide ribosomal RNA is filed under the name fungal sp. R4-1 ZLY-2010. RNAcentral's name for it is "eukaryotic LSU rRNA". The stretch from base 133 to 286 matches the Rfam family "5.8S ribosomal RNA". The record is from RNAcentral. Lineage: Eukaryota; Fungi.
CCAACCCCUGUGAACAUACCACUUGUUGCCUCGGCGGAUCAGCCCGCUCCCGGUAAAACGGGACGGCCCGCCAGAGGACCCCUAAACUCUGUUUCUAUAUGUAACUUCUGAGUAAAACCAUAAAUAAAUCAAAACUUUCAACAACGGAUCUCUUGGUUCUGGCAUCGAUGAAGAACGCAGCAAAAUGCGAUAAGUAAUGUGAAUUGCAGAAUUCAGUGAAUCAUCGAAUCUUUGAACGCACAUUGCGCCCGCCAGUAUUCUGGCGGGCAUGCCUGUUCGAGCGUCAUUUCAACCCUCAAGCACAGCUUGGUGUUGGGACUCGCGUUAAUUCGCGUUCCCCAAAUUGAUUGGCGGUCACGUCGAGCUUCCAUAGCGUAGUAGUAAAACCCUCGUUACUGGUAAUCGUCGCGGCCACGCCGUUAAACCCCAACUUCUGAAUGUUGACCUCGGAUCAGGUAGGAAUACCCGCUGAACUUAAGCAUAUCAAUAAGACGGAGGAAG